RNAcentral lists this long non-coding RNA (329 nucleotides) under Manihot esculenta (cassava). Its description in RNAcentral is "long non-coding RNA (MESC_LNC006138)". The record is from RNAcentral. Lineage: Eukaryota; Viridiplantae; Streptophyta; Magnoliopsida; Malpighiales; Euphorbiaceae.
CUGAAAACCUGUGGAAUCCCAUACAUAACAACAUAUACAUGAUCUGUAAAAAUUUUUCUUUUCUCUUAUCCAAGCAAAACCUGUGCAUGCACAAAAUCAUACAUAAACCCCACACUGGAGUCCUCAUCAAAUACUCCAAUGGGGUAUCAUCAUCAUACAUAUCAGCUUGGAUAAUCAUGGUCAUUAACAUCAUUACUCAUUAAACACUCUGUACAUAAUGGGGAUUCACACACCUCUAGGUCAAGCACUACUAUAAUCCUCAAUACAUCAUCAAAUCAUUCAUUACAUUACAUGGUCAUAAAUACUCGUUACAUCAUGUUCAUGUCCAC